UUAGUGGCGGACGGGUGAGUAACACGUGGGAACGUGCCUUUAGGUUCGGAAUAGCUCCUGGAAACGGGUGGUAAUGCCGAAUGUGCCCUUCGGGGGAAAGAUUUAUCGCCUUUAGAGCGGCCCGCGUCUGAUUAGCUUGUUGGUGAGGUAAUGGCUCACCAAGGCGACGAUCAGUAGCUGGUCUGAGAGGAUGACCAGCCACAUUGGGACUGAGACACGGCCCAAACUCCUACGGGAGGCAGCAGUGGGGAAUCUUGCGCAAUGGGCGAAAGCCUGACGCAGCCAUGCCGCGUGGAUGAUGAAGGUCUUAGGAUUGUAAAAUCCUUUCACCGGUGAAGAUAAUGACUGUAGCCGGAGAAGAAGCCCCGGCUAACUUCGUGCCAGCAGCCGCGGUAAUACGAAGGGGGCUAGCGUUGCUCGGAAUUACUGGGCGUAAAGGGAGCGUAGGCGGACAUUUAAGUCAGGGGUGAAAUCCCAGAGCUCAACUCUGGAACUGCCUUUGAUACUGGGUGUCUUGAGUGUGAGAGAGGUAUGUGGAACUCCGAGUGUAGAGGUGAAAUUCGUAGAUAUUCGGAAGAACACCAGUGGCGAAGGCGACAUACUGGCUCAUUACUGACGCUGAGGCUCGAAAGCGUGGGGAGCAAACAGGAUUAGAUACCCUGGUAGUCCACGCCGUAAACGAUGAUUGCUAGUUGUCGGGAAGCUUGCUUC
Molecule: ribosomal RNA, 711 nt
Filed under: Brevundimonas lenta
Lineage: Bacteria; Pseudomonadati; Pseudomonadota; Alphaproteobacteria; Caulobacterales; Caulobacteraceae
Description: bacterial SSU rRNA
Rfam family: Bacterial small subunit ribosomal RNA
Source: RNAcentral